GGUUGCGAUCAUACCAGCACUAAUGCACCGGAUCCCAUCAGAACUCCGCAGUUAAGCGUGCUUGGGCGAGAGUAGUACUAGGAUGGGUGACCCCCUGGGAAGUCCUCGUGUUGCAACCU
This 119-nucleotide ribosomal RNA is filed under the name Helianthus annuus (common sunflower). Lineage: Eukaryota; Viridiplantae; Streptophyta; Magnoliopsida; Asterales; Asteraceae. The record is from RNAcentral.